ACACGUGCGUGGAGCAUGCGCAGUCAGGCACAGUCCGCUAUAUAAGAGGGUGCUCGCGAAUAGUCGCUCCCUUUUUCGUUCCGUUCGCUGAGGGUAUCGGUCCACCAAGCAGGCGCGGGCAACAUGUGCUGGAGACCUGGGCUGGUAGAGCAAGGCCAGGGGCGGCCCCAGGAUAGAACCAGCAGGAAGCACCGGUGCUCUGGUUAUGAACCCACUGUGUCCAUUCCCCCCUGCGACUCUCAUGGAGGAGGCAGCGGUCCAUGGCAGCAAGGUGGGAGCAACGUGAGCCUGGGAUACCUGGCUCACUGAGAAAGGUGCCAUGGUGACCUGAAGCAGACUUGGAAAAAGUGGUCACUGUCCUGGUUAACAAGCCAUUUGUGAGCCAUUAAUAGGGGAGAGUGGGACUAUUAUGUUGUCCAUAGACAUAGACUUGAGGAUCUUCUAAAGGUGAAGGAGUUGUCAAUGUCAGCAUGAAGCAGAAGUUGCCCUGUGAAGUAGCAGAAAUACUCUCCUGUUAAUAUUGGGAACAUUUGCCAAAGUGACAGCAAAAUAUCCCGAGUCUAGGCUGUUGUAUCCACAUUGCUCUGCAAUGACUUCAUGGUCAAGCUUCCCUCUUUCUGUGUGGAGUAAGAAAUACUGCAUGUCCUGCCUCCUUAAGAGAUGCCUAGGGGCUUUAGUAAUUUAUUGUCUUAAAUGUCACGAGCCAUUUCAUUGGAAGGGAUUGACCAUCUAUGGAUCUUGACGUCUUUUUAUGCAGUAACAUACUAUGUCAAGUGUUCUUGUGUCCAUGAUGGCUGUAUUCACCCCCUGCCAGCUGGGUUCAACCCACUGCUGUAAUGUGGAAGAUUAUGAUGUACUAAAAAUCAUUAAAAGUACUGAGGUAACUUCUUAAAUGGA
This is a long non-coding RNA of Trachemys scripta elegans, 897 nucleotides long. RefSeq lists it as uncharacterized. The transcript has 5 exons. NCBI's taxonomy places the organism in Eukaryota, Metazoa, Chordata, Testudines, Emydidae. The record is from RefSeq and is a predicted model, not a curated record.